CACAUGCAAGUCGAACGGAGUUAUAUGAAACCUAGUGAUAUAAACUAGUGGCGGACGGGUGAGUAACGCGUGGGUAACCUGCCGUAUGCUGGGGGACGAACAGUUGGAAACGACUGCUAAUACCGCAUAAGCGCACAGAGAGGCAUCUCUCAGUGUGAAAAACUCCGGUGGCAUACGAUGGACCCGCGUCUGAUUAGGCAGUUGGCGAGGUAACGGCUCACCAAACCUACGAUCAGUAGCCGGCCUGAGAGGGUGAACGGCCACAUUGGGACUGAGACACGGCCCAAACUCCUACGGGAGGCAGCAGUGGGGAAUAUUGCACAAUGGGGGAAACCCUGAUGCAGCGACGCCGCGUGAGUGAAGAAGUAUUUCGGUAUGUAAAGCUCUAUCAGCAGGAAAGAAAAUGACGGUACCUGACUAAGAAGCCCCGGCUAACUACGUGCCAGCCGCCGC
Molecule: ribosomal RNA, 453 nt
Filed under: uncultured bacterium
Lineage: Bacteria
Description: bacterial SSU rRNA
Rfam family: Bacterial small subunit ribosomal RNA
Source: RNAcentral